GUGUGGGAAUCUGUGCCCAGUAAUACCUCUCCCGGUCUACAAUGACCUUCUUGGGCAAGAGCAACAUGGCAUACACCCUUGUAAUCCGGAUUAGCCCUGAAAUUACCAAGAUCUUUAAUGUCAUAAAAGUACUUGAUGUUUUGCUCCGUACAAAACUCCCUCAAGAUAUCCACAUUCCGGUUUGCACGCUCAUCACUAGUGAAAAUGUAGUGAUCUGGUAUAAUAACAAUCUUUUCACGGUCCCAAACCUUCGCAUCUGGACCAAACUCCUGCUUGAAAAUCCCUAACGUCCCCGGCCCGGCGAUAUCAUGUGUCAUGAACAUAUCAACAUUCACCCAAACAUUCUCCCCCGGAUCCACCUGCGCCCGCUCCGACGCCCUCGCCAGGAUCUUCUCCGUCACAGUCAACGCAUUCUUAACUGAGCCAGUUGUCGCCGGAGCCCGCUGCUUCUGUGCCGGCGCCAUGACUGCUAGGGUUUUGACCAUAGAUCUCCUCCAAGAUUUACGUGCGGCGAUUGAAUUUGAGGUGUACGGGGCGAAUUUCAGCUCCUCUCCGUCGAGACGAACGGAGCUGGAGGCGAUGAAGGAUGGAACUGAAGCCAUCUAGACCGAUUUUGCUCGCCCUGAGUGGGGAGUUUCGUCGCCGGCUGUGGUGGCGGUGGCGGUGGCGUGUGGGGGGAGUGGGAGAGGGGAGCUGGAAUUGUUAUAGGAAAAAGCUACUGACGAGUUGGCCUCGUCGGACUCGGCGAAUAGUGGCCG
This 758-nucleotide unclassified non-coding RNA is filed under the name Hevea brasiliensis (rubber tree). The record is from RNAcentral. Lineage: Eukaryota; Viridiplantae; Streptophyta; Magnoliopsida; Malpighiales; Euphorbiaceae.